GAUGAACGCUGGCGGCGUGCCUAAUACAUGCAAGUCGAGCGAACAGACGAGGAGCUUGCUCCUCUGACGUUAGCGGCGGACGGGUGAGUAACACGUGGAUAACCUACCUAUAAGACUGGGAUAACUUCGGGAAACCGGAGCUAAUACCGGAUAAUAUAUUGAACCGCAUGGUUCAAUAGUGAAAGACGGUUUUGCUGUCACUUAUAGAUGGAUCCGCGCCGCAUUAGCUAGUUGGUAAGGUAACGGCUUACCAAGGCAACGAUGCGUAGCCGACCUGAGAGGGUGAUCGGCCACACGAGAACGUAGACACGGUCCAGACUCCUACGGGAGGCAGCAGUAGGGAAUCGUCCGCAAUGGGCGAAAGCCUGACGGAGCAACGCCGCGUGAGUGAUGAAGGUCUUCGGAUCGUAAAACUCUGUUAUUAGGGAAGAACAAAUGUGUAAGUAACUAUGCGCGUCUUGACGGUACCUAAUCAGAAAGCCACGGCUAACUACGUG
Molecule: ribosomal RNA, 497 nt
Filed under: uncultured bacterium
Lineage: Bacteria
Description: partial 16S ribosomal RNA
Rfam family: Bacterial small subunit ribosomal RNA
Source: RNAcentral